UCGAGAAUAAUUCACAAUGGGGGCAACCCUGAUGGUGCAACGCCGCGUGGAGGAUGACGGUCUUCGGAUUGUAAACUCCUGUCAUCCGGGAGUAAGACCUGACGGUGAACAGCCGGCAGGGUUGAUAGUACCGGAAGAGGAAGGGACGGCUAACUUCGUGCCAGCAGCCGCGGUAAUACGAAGGUCCCGAGCGUUGUUCGGAAUCACUGGGCGUAAAGGGAGCGUAGGCGGCGUGGCAAGUCAGACGUGAAAUCCCGGGGCUCAACCCCGGAACUGCGUCCGAUACUGCCGCGCUCAGAGGAUUGGAGAGGUAGCUGGAAUUCACGGUGUAGCAGUGAAAUGCGUGGAUAUCGUGAGGAACACUCGUGGCGAAAGCGAGCUACUGGACAACUCCUGACGCUGAGGCUCGAAGGCCAGGGUAGCGAAAGGG
This 430-nucleotide ribosomal RNA is filed under the name uncultured bacterium. RNAcentral's name for it is "bacterial SSU rRNA". It matches the Rfam family "Bacterial small subunit ribosomal RNA", at positions 355 to 776 of the family's 1533-position model. The record is from RNAcentral.